UGGUCAGUCCUUGUUCUAAGUGCUUCACUUUUUUGUAUUUUACUUACUCAGCCCGACGAACUACAUGAAGAGGUUAAAAACAUUGGGGAGAAUCAUGGACCAUUGCAUCCAAUGUGCUUAUUGUCUUUGAAAUGUUGAAAGAUUCCCAUGCAAUAAAAAAAAAAAUCAAAAGUCAUCUGUAGUCUAUGACAUAUUCAUCAGUCUUCUGUCAGAAGACAACUUUUGUCCCCCAGAAUCUAGCCAAUGUCGUAUUUUCCUCAGAAGUUCUGUUCAUGAUGUGAGCGGGCCACUCAGAUAACAGCUUGCCAAGUAUUCAUACUAACCAAGACAGAUGGGAACGGCUAAGGAGUUUUUCAAUGCCAUUGCUGUGUAAGCUGUCCUUUGCUUCCCUCAUGUGAGAAACUCAAAGCACUUUUGUGGAGAAGAUCAUUUAUUCAAGAACCGACUUUUCCUGUCAUUAACGAUGAGAAAAUGGCACCUUUGACAACCACCUUGGCUGGCCCACUUUGGAAUCAAAUGGGAUCUGGAUGGAAGAAGGAUGGCCGGGACCUCAACAUCCUGGACAAGUCACCCUGACAAACAACGGCACUGUUUUUGGAUUUCCCAGGAGGCGGAAGAGUGCCCUCUGAGAUUUAUAAACACAUCCAUAAUAAAUGGGAGGCUGGAGUUUAAACUGUUAUGGAGGCUCCUCUGCUGUGCCGCCGAGGUCUCGUGUGAUUUAGAGAGGUGACAUUUACUGUGUGCAGACCUAUUAUUCAGAGUGACUGUUUGUGUAUAGACAAUAUUUUAAAAUGGCUUGCUGUAGAUGAAAAAUUCUUAUUAAGUCAGAAAAACAGUUUAAGUAGGUAACACUCUCUCAGUUUAGUCUGCUAUAAGUCUUACUGUCUUGCCACAUGGAAAGUGCUUGGGGUGGGAGGCAGUGACACCUCCCAGGUGCUGGCUAAAAUACUACCUGCAGAGCGAACAGGAUACGGGCUUCAGCUGGGACCACAAAACUAAUUGUACAGCUGAAGUGAAACCGGUAGGCAUUUCUGCAGGUGUCAUCACUAUGGCCCAACCAAGAGAAUGCGGGAGGCCCAGCGCCCAUAGACUAGAGACAGAAGUAGGUUUUUCCACUAAGUAGUAGUGUGAUCUCACAGAUGUCUCUUAACCUCCCAGAGCCUCAGUUUCCCUAAUCUGCAAAAUUUGGGAAUUGGAUGAGGUGCCUUCUAAAACCCCUGUGGGACCUAUUUUGUGUAGCCUAGUCUUAGGGAAGCAUGCCUCUGAGCCCCCAAUGGCUGUGUAGCCCUUUACAGUCACCCAGAACAUUCCCUUAGCUUCCCGUUUCCCCCAUUUAAAUCCCAUGGUAGUCCUGAGAAAGAGACAGAGAAAUGAUUAUUGUACCACUUCUUCAAAUAAGGAGAGAGGCUCAUGGGAAUUAGGUGUCACGUCCAAGAUCUUAUGGCUGGAAGGAACCUAAACCCCACAUCUUACCCUUAGUCUCAGACACUGUCUCAACACAUUUCUCAUAUCCCUACCUGCCCUAAGAGCUCUGUAAUUUGUUACAAAUAGCUCACGGGGAGAAGAUAAUUGCCAAAACAUAGAUAUGAACAGAGGGCAGGAAGAGGACAAACAUGGCCAGUUCUCAGGAGGCUCAUGGUCUUCUAGGAGAGACAGCACAUCUCUGCCUAACCACACUCUACCCGUUUUUAGAGUCCAAACUCCAUUUUCUCCUCCCUCAGGAAGCCUGUUUUGUUCCACUUCUAUUCCAGCCCUGAAAUAUCCUUCCUUCGACACCGCUGGUUGACCUCCAUUUUCAAGACAGGUGCAAUAAGCACGUUCUUUUCUCCUCCUUCUUGUGUUAGCAUGUGUGUACCUCACUUUUCUAACUUAUUAAUAACCUUUGUGUCAGCAAGGUUUGUGAAUCCUACUAGUAGUUAACUCAUUCAUGGGGAGGAAUCAGUUACGUGAUUCAGCCAUCAACAAAGACACUUACGCUACCCUAGAUAAGGGUAGUACCGACAUAGACGCUACACUGCUCUGCUCCUCACAGCUUUAACCUCACUAGGAAGGGACAUCACAGCCUUUUUCAUCUAGUAGAGCUACAGUCUUGUCUCCUUUAUCACUAUGUUGUCACCUCCGUUAUUCUUCACCAUAGUACUUAUUACUCUAAGAACUUGAACGUUUAUUGUCCCGUCUCCCAACUUAGAGUGUAAUCUCCAUGAUCACAGGGUUUCAUCUGACUUUUUCAUUGCUCUAUCUUCACACCAUGAACAACGCACAUCAUAGGUGCUCAAUAAAUAUCCACGGAAUGAAUGGAUGCCUGCACGCAUUUCAGGCUUUGUGACCAUAGCGUGUGAUC
Canis lupus familiaris (dog) is the source of this 2341-nucleotide long non-coding RNA. RefSeq lists it as uncharacterized. NCBI's taxonomy places the organism in Eukaryota, Metazoa, Chordata, Mammalia, Carnivora, Canidae. The transcript is spliced from 5 exons. The record is from RefSeq and is a predicted model, not a curated record.